RNAcentral lists this non-coding RNA (706 nucleotides) under Abscondita chinensis. The record is from RNAcentral. Lineage: Eukaryota; Metazoa; Arthropoda; Insecta; Coleoptera; Lampyridae.
UAUUUAAUAUGUAAAUAUUACAUUAAAAAUUUAUUUGCAGUUUUUAGUUUUAAAACAUUAUUUAAGUAAGUUUUAGUAAUUAAUUAUAGAUUUAAUAAAAUUUGUGCCAGCAAUUGCGGUUAUACAAAUAAUUCAAUUGAAAUUUAUUGGUUAAUAAUUAAUUUGUUUUAAUUAAUUUAUUAUUAAAAUUUUUAAGUGAAAUUUAAAUUUUAAUAUAAUUUUUUUGUUUAUAUUUGAAGUUAUUAAAAUUAGUAUUAAACUAGGAUUAGAUACCCUAUUAUUAUAAUUGUAAAGUUUAAAUACCAGAUUAGUAUUAGUUGUUUUCUUAAAAAUUAAAGGAUUUGGCGGUAUUUUAGUCUAUUCAGAGGAACCUGUCCUGUAAUCGAUAAUCCACGAUUAGAAUAACUUUUCUUUUUCUUGUAUAUCGUUGUUUUUGAAUAUUUUAUAAGAAUUUAAAUUUUCAAUAAGUAUAUUUUAGUUAAUUUCAGAUCAAGGUGCAGUUUAUAGGAAAGAAGAUGAUGGGUUACAUUAAAUUUAUUUUUGGUUUAAUAUUUUGAAUAAUAUUAUUAAAUUGGAUUUGAUAGUAAUAUUUUAUAUAUUUAUUAUAUGAUUUUAGCUCUAAAAUGUGUACAUAUUGCCCGUCGCUCUCAUUUAUUUGAGAUAAGUCGUAACAAAGUAGAUUUACUGGAAAGUGAAUCUAGUAUUA